UGAGCAAUCUGCCCUUCUCAUCGGAAUAAGCGUUGGAAACGACGUCUAAUGCCGAAUACGACCUCCUUUCGCAUGAUCGGAGGUGAAAAGCUCCGGCGGAGAAGGAUGAGCUCGCGGCCUAUCAGCUAGUUGGUGUGGGUAAUGGCCCACCAAGGCGACGACGGGUAGCCGGCCUGAGAGGGUGUCCGGCCACACUGGGACUGAGACACGGCCCAGACUCCUACGGGAGCAG
RNAcentral lists this ribosomal RNA (232 nucleotides) under uncultured bacterium. RNAcentral describes it as "partial 16S ribosomal RNA". It matches the Rfam family "Bacterial small subunit ribosomal RNA", at positions 118 to 347 of the family's 1533-position model. The record is from RNAcentral.